This 407-nucleotide ribosomal RNA is filed under the name uncultured eukaryote. RNAcentral describes it as "partial 18S ribosomal RNA". It matches the Rfam family "Eukaryotic small subunit ribosomal RNA", at positions 592 to 975 of the family's 1831-position model. The record is from RNAcentral.
CAAUAGCGUAUAUUAAUGUUGUUGCAGUUAAAAAGCUCGUAGUUGGAUUUCGAAUGGGAGCGGUGGGUCGGGUCCGCAAGGGCUCGUUACCUGUUUCGUCUCCGGUUCUUUUUCGGGAUUUGUUUCUGGCGUGGCUGGCAUUGAGUUGUCGGUGGCGUCGGGCCCGUCGUUUACUGUGAACAAAUUAGAGUGUUCAAAGCAAGGUGUGUCUUGAAUACAUUAGCAUGGAAUAAUGAGAUAGGACUUUGGUGGUUUCGGUGAAAGCCGGAUAUUUUGUUGGUUUGCACGCCAAAGUAAUGAUUAAUAGGAGCAGUUGGGGGUAUUCGUAUUCAAUUGUCAGAGGUGAAAUUCUUGGAUUUCUAGAAGACGAACUACUGCGAAAGCAUUUACCAGGGAUGUUUNCAUUA